Molecule: non-coding RNA, 21 nt
Filed under: Caenorhabditis elegans
Lineage: Eukaryota; Metazoa; Nematoda; Chromadorea; Rhabditida; Rhabditidae
Source: RNAcentral
UUAUGCUUUUUCAAAUUUUUA